Passer domesticus (house sparrow) is the source of this 910-nucleotide long non-coding RNA. RefSeq lists it as uncharacterized. The transcript is spliced from 3 exons. The record is from RefSeq and is a predicted model, not a curated record. NCBI's taxonomy places the organism in Eukaryota, Metazoa, Chordata, Aves, Passeriformes, Passeridae.
CUGUGGCACGCUCACUGCAGGCAGAACCUGCUGAUCGACGAGGUCUCUGCCAGCAGGACUCGGAAUAUUUUUGGUUUUUCCCACAGGCGUUGUCUGGUACAGACUUGAGCAGCGCUGCUCAAGCCAUGGAGGGAGUGUGUGCUGCAGUUUGCGCGGCUUUUUCCGUGGCUUAUUCUGGGUACUUUCUCACCCACCUGGCACGUCACAUCACCCGUGCCUGGAGAGAAUCCGGUCUUUGGAGCCCAACACCAACCUCGGAGGAUCCUCUGGCUGCGUGUCUUCCUGCAGAAGAGGCCAGAGGGGAGGAAGAUGCUCCCCAAACUGCGCCUGCUGCCACUGCAGGGCCUGAGCAUCCAGCAUCAGUAAGUAGCAGCUCUGGGUCGUGCUGUGGCUGGAGCAAAGCAUAGCUGCAAGUUUCUGAUCAGACAGCACCUCCUGUGCCUGGCUGAAGAUGCUGGAGGCCGGAAUCUUUCCGGCCCUUCCCCCAGUCAGUGGAGCUUGGAAAAGCAGAGUGGAACUUGGAUUGUUUAUGCAGCAGCUUCCUACUGUUCUGAAAGGGGCUGUGAAUUUGUCUUAGUAAGAGACAAGAGGUAGCAUUAGGAUGUCUUUGGAUGCUCCUGGGGUACAAGUGAGGUCCUUGGUGGCCAGUGGCUGUGCAGGCUCCCUGUCCCCUGUGAGGAGAGCAGUGCAAAGAUGCAGUUCACAAGCUUGCAGGAUAUGAGGAGGCACUGUCCCCAGCAGGGACCUGGCCCUCCCCACAGAGCAGCUAAAGUCAGUAGCUAAAGGAAGAGCUGAGCAGGGCCUGUAGCUGAAUAUAGGUAAGGUGGUGAAUGACAGGUUCUUUCCUAUCCCUCAUGCUGCUGUCUGUCCACAGAGCACAAGGGCAGCGUCAGCACCUGCUCUAGCUGCC